GCCCAAAGUUUGCACCAGUUACUCUGCAGGAAUGAAAAGAUGACAAGGAUCCAGAAGAUUGCAGUUUUUGAAGGCUUGUACAUGCUCUUCAGAGAGCUUUUGCCCCAACAUGGAUCUGAACGAGGGGAAAAAGUCAUCAAGGACCUGGAUGUCUUUGAGAAUUCAUUGUACUGCUGGGCAUAUCUUCUUUCAAAAGCAAAGAAACAGGCAUC
Seriola dumerili (greater amberjack) is the source of this 212-nucleotide long non-coding RNA. RefSeq lists it as uncharacterized. The transcript has 3 exons. NCBI's taxonomy places the organism in Eukaryota, Metazoa, Chordata, Actinopteri, Carangiformes, Carangidae. The record is from RefSeq and is a predicted model, not a curated record.